RNAcentral lists this ribosomal RNA (738 nucleotides) under Triticum aestivum (bread wheat). RNAcentral describes it as "partial small subunit ribosomal RNA". Lineage: Eukaryota; Viridiplantae; Streptophyta; Magnoliopsida; Poales; Poaceae. The record is from RNAcentral.
AUGUCCGAUGCUGAAUGUUGCCAAUUAUGUGGAGCACAAGAUUCAUGGAGGCAUUCCCUCCUGGAGUGCUCCAUGGCCCGCUGUGUAUGGGCCCUCUCUGAUGGCGACCUCGCUGAACAUUUACAAGCAACAAGUGAGCCGAAUGCGAAGCAAUAGUUAUUCACUUUGUUUGAAAAUCUGUCACAUGCCCAGCUGAUCAAGUUCGUUGUUACUCUAUGGGCGAUUUGGAAUGCACGUCAAAGGGCUCGGACAGCUCCGGUUCAAGGAGUGAGAAGCAGCAGAGGUUGGAUGGCGCCAGAGGUUGGAGUUGCAAAGAUCCAAGUGGAUGGAGGUCUAGCAAGGAAUGGGAGAAGAGGAGCAGCAGCUACGAUAUGCCGAGAUCACACCGGAAAAUUCCUGGGUUCGUCGGCUAUGGUUUUUGAUCACAUUACGGAUCCGGCUACCUUGGAAGCUCUUGCAUGUAGAGAAGCUUUGUCUUUGGCUCUCAAUUUAUCUUUGGAUCGAUGUGUAAUUGUUUCCGACUGCAAACCAGUGGUGGAGGAGAUACAGCAAGGCUCGGAUGGGAGAUAUGGGAUGAUCAUAAAGGAAAUUGUCACCACGGCAAGAGAAUUCACUAGCCGCCAGUUCGUAUAUGAAAACCGGGCAAUGAACGGAGAUGCUCAUAAUUUGGCCAAAUUUUCAUCUUCUUUAAUACAGGGGCGCCAUUUGGGCUGGGUGUACCCCACGACCCUUUUGUAA